UUGGAGGGCAAGUCUGGUGCCAGCAGCCGCGGUAAUUCCAGCUCCAAUAGUGUAUAUUAAAGUUGUUGCAGUUAAAAAGCUCGUAGUUGAAUUUCGGGGUUAGUAGGUUGGUCAUGCCUCUGGUAUGUACUGAUCUCACUGAUUCCUCCCUCUUGACGAACUGCAAUGUCAUUAAUUUGGUGUUGCGGGAAAUCAGGACUGUUACUUUGAAAAAAUUAGAGUGUUUAAAGCAGGCUAAGGCUUGAAUACAUUAGCAUGGAAUAAUGAAAUAGGACGUUUGAACCUAUUUUGUUGGUUUCUAGGAUCGACGUAAUGAUUAAUAGGGAUAGUUGGGGGCAUUAGUAUUCAAUUGUCAGAGGUGAAAUUCUUGGAUUUAUUGAAGACUAACUACUGCGAAAGCAUUUGCCAAGGAUGUUUUCAUUAAUCAAGAACGAAAGUUAGGGGAUCGAAGACGAUCAGAUACCGUCGUAGUCUUAACCAUAAACUAUGCCGACUAGGGAUCGGAUGAUGUUAAUUUUUUAAUGACUCAUUCGGCGCCUUACGGGAAAC
Molecule: ribosomal RNA, 549 nt
Filed under: uncultured Glomeromycotina
Lineage: Eukaryota; Fungi; Glomeromycota
Description: SSU rRNA
Rfam family: Eukaryotic small subunit ribosomal RNA
Source: RNAcentral